UACAGAGGUGCCGAGCGUUAGGCGGAAUCACUGGGCUUAAAGCGUGUGUAGGCGGACGCCUAAGUACCUUGUGAAAUCCCACGGCUCACCCGUGGAACGGCUGGGUAUACUGGGCGUCUUGAGCCUUCUAGGGGCCAGCGGAACAAAUGGUGGAGCGGUGAAAUGCGUAGAUAUCGGGAGGAACACCAGUGGCGAAGGCGGCUACCUGGACCAGCACUGACACUGAAGCACGAAAGCGUGGGGAGCAAACAGG
This 253-nucleotide ribosomal RNA is filed under the name uncultured bacterium. RNAcentral describes it as "partial 16S ribosomal RNA". It matches the Rfam family "Bacterial small subunit ribosomal RNA", at positions 524 to 776 of the family's 1533-position model. The record is from RNAcentral.